UUGGAGACUAGUAUAAACGGUUUAAUUAAUUUAGUUAAUUUGUAAUUUUUAAUAUUAAAGCAAGCUUAAAGUAAAAACUCUUUAAUAAGUUAAGGGACGAUAAGACCCUAAAAGCUUUAUAAUUAGUAUUUGAUUAUUUUAAUAAAUAGUAUUAAUUCACUGGGGCAGUGAUUUUGUGUAUAUCGGAAUAAAAUUAAAGGAUCCUUAAAAUAAAGAUUUUAUGUGUAAGUUACUUUAGGGAUAACAGUGCGAUAUAUUUGAAGAGACCGUAUCUAUAAAUAUGAUUGCAACCUCGAUGUUGAAUUAGAAUUUCUAUAUGAGCAGAAUAUAUGCGAGAAAGUUUGUUCAACUUUUAAAUUUCUACAUGAUCUGAGUUCAAACCGG
This 384-nucleotide ribosomal RNA is filed under the name Dikerogammarus bispinosus. Its description in RNAcentral is "partial 16S ribosomal RNA". The stretch from base 240 to 384 matches the Rfam family "Bacterial large subunit ribosomal RNA", at positions 2473 to 2619 of the family's 2925-position model. The record is from RNAcentral. Lineage: Eukaryota; Metazoa; Arthropoda; Malacostraca; Amphipoda; Gammaridae.